GUGGGGAAUAUUGGGCAAUGGGCGAAAGCCUGACCCAGCGACGCCGCGUGGGUGAUGAAGGCCUUCGGGUUGUAAAACCCUUUCGUGCGGAAAGAACAGCCCUAAAUCUAAUACAUUCAGGGUUUGACGGUACCGCAGGAAGAAGCACCGGCUAACUCCGUGCCAGCAGCCGCGGUAAUACGGAGGGUGCAAGCGUUGUUCGGAAUUAUUGGGCGUAAAGGGCGCGUAGGCGGUUGUGAUAGUCAGAUGUGAAAUCCUUCGGCUCAACUGAAGAACUGCAUCUGAAACUUCAUAACUGGAGUACAGGAGAGGGAAACGGAAUUCCCGGUGUAGAGGUGAAAUUCGUAGAUAUCGGGAGGAACACCAGUGGCGAAGGCGGUUUCCUGGCCUGAUACUGACGCUGAGGCGCGAAAGCGUGGGGAGCAAACAGGAUUAGAAACCCGAGUAGUCC
Molecule: ribosomal RNA, 451 nt
Filed under: uncultured bacterium
Lineage: Bacteria
Description: bacterial SSU rRNA
Rfam family: Bacterial small subunit ribosomal RNA
Source: RNAcentral